GAUGAACGCUGGCGGCGUGCCUAAUACAUGCAAGUCGAGCGAACGGACGAGAAGCUUUCUUCUCUGAUGUUAGCGGCGGACGGGUGAGUAACACGUGGAUAACCUACCUAUAAGACUUGGAUAACUUCGGGAAACCUGAUCUAAUACCGGAUAAUAUUUUGAACCUCAUGGUUCAAAAGUUAAAGACGGUCUUGCUGUCACCUAUAGAUGGAUCCGCGCUGCAUUAGCUAGUUGGUAAGGUAACGGCUUACCAAGGCAACGAUGCAUAUCCGACCUGAGAGGGUGAUCGGCCACACUGGAACUGAGACACGGUCCAGACUCCUACGGGAGGCAGCAGUAGGGAAUAUUCCGCAAUGGGCGAAAGCCUGACGGAGCAACGCCGCGUGAGUGAUGAAGGUCUUCGGAUCGUAAAACUCUGUUAUUAGGGAAGAACAUAUGUGUAAGAAACUGUGCACAUCUUGACGGUACCUAAUCAGAAAGCCACGGCUAACUACGUG
This 497-nucleotide ribosomal RNA is filed under the name uncultured bacterium. RNAcentral's name for it is "partial 16S ribosomal RNA". It matches the Rfam family "Bacterial small subunit ribosomal RNA", at positions 28 to 507 of the family's 1533-position model. The record is from RNAcentral.